RNAcentral lists this ribosomal RNA (882 nucleotides) under Stenotrophomonas sp. RNAcentral's name for it is "bacterial SSU rRNA". It matches the Rfam family "Bacterial small subunit ribosomal RNA", at positions 48 to 931 of the family's 1533-position model. The record is from RNAcentral. Lineage: Bacteria; Pseudomonadati; Pseudomonadota; Gammaproteobacteria; Lysobacterales; Lysobacteraceae.
GCUACCAUGCAGUCGAGCGGAGACAGGAGCAGCUUGCUCUCUGGGUGGCGAGUGGGGGACGGGUGGCGUAUACAUCUGACUCUACUCUGUCGUGGGGGAUUCGUAGGGAAACUUACACUAAUACCGCCUACCACCUACGGGUGAGAGCCCGUCACCUUCUGCCCUUGCGCAAUUGCCUGAGCCGAAGUCGGAUUAUCUAGUUGGCGGGGUUCAGGCCCGCCACGGCCACUAUCCGGACCUGGACUGAGAGGAUGAUCACCCACACUGAAACUGAGACCCGACCCCUACUCCUACGGGAGGCGGCAGUGAUUAAUAUUGGACAAUGGGCCCGAUCCUGACCCGCCCAUACCGCGUGGAUGAACAACGCCUUCGGGUUGUAUUUCCCUUUUGAUGAAAAAGAAAUCCAGCUGGCUAUGACCCGGUUGGGAUGACGGUACCCAAAGAAUAAGCACCGGCUAACUUCGUGCCCGCAGCCGCACUAAUACGAAGGGUGCAAGCGUUACUCACAGUUACUGGGCGUAAAGCGUGCGUAGGUGGUCGUUUAAUUCCGUUGUGAAAGCCCUGGGCUCAACCUGGCAACUGCAACGGAUACUGGGCGACUAGAAUGAGGUAGAUGGAAUUUCAUGUCCUGGUGUAACAUGGAUAUGCAUAGAAAUCAACACGAACAUCCAUGGCGAACGCCUGUACCUGAUACUGAGCGAAACGAAAGCGUGGAGAGCAAACAGGAUUACAGAUCCUGGUAGUCGACGCCCAAGUCGAUGCGAACUGGAUGUCCUUGCAUUUUGGCACGCAAUAUCAAAGCUAACGCUUUACGUUCGCCGCCUGCGGACUACAGGGCUCAAGACUGAAUCUCAUGGAAUUGACCCGCGCCCGACACUAGAU